UCUGAGGCCGUCGGCUUCCUAUGAAGCGCCUGGCUGUCCAUAAGCUGCUAAAUGUUUCUUUUAUUCCUCUCUAUUUCUUACGGACAACAGGAAAAAUAGACACUACUCGAAGCUAGAAGUAUAACAGUGGAUUGGAAAAGCCAAGGAAUACCCUUCUGUCGGAUCUACGUCGGCGCACUGCCACGUUUGUUCAGCCCUUUAGCUUCUGAAGCUAACAGCGGUUGAGGAGAGUGGAAGCCUCGGCACGAGAUGGUUUGACUGUGGUCCAUGAAUAACAAAAAUAUGAGCAUCUAAUCAACGCUUGAUAUCAUGGCUCCAGUCUCACCCUGACCUCUUGGUUUACCCAGGAUCCAAAAUGAGCAUCAGCAGUGAUGAGGUCAAUUUCCUGGUGUACAGAUACCUGCAGGAGUCAGGCUUCUCCCACUCAGCAUUCACCUUUGGCAUAGAGAGCCACAUCAGCCAGUCCAACAUCAACGGAGCUCUGGUGCCCCCUGCUGCCCUCAUCUCUAUCAUCCAGAAAGGCCUGCAGUAUGUGGAGGCUGAAGUCAGCAUCA
Molecule: long non-coding RNA, 554 nt
Organism: Danio aesculapii
Lineage: Eukaryota; Metazoa; Chordata; Actinopteri; Cypriniformes; Danionidae
Exons: 4
Source: RefSeq, a predicted model, not a curated record